CUAAGCCAUGCGAGUCAUGGGGCGCGCUCUGCGCGCACCGGCGGACGGCUCAGUAACACGUCGGUAACCUACCCUCGGGAGGGGGAUAACCCCGGGAAACUGGGGCUAAUCCCCCAUAGGCCUGAGGUACUGGAAGGUCCUCAGGCCGAAAGGGUCUUUGACCGCCCGAGGAUGGGCCGGCGGCCGAUUAGGUAGUUGGUGGGGUAACGGCCCACCAAGCCGAAGAUCGGUACGGGCCAUGAGAGUGGGAGCCCGGAGAUGGACACUGAGACACGGGUCCAGGCCCUACGGGGCGCAGCAGGCGCGAAACCUCCGCAAUGCGGGCAACCGCGACGGGGGGACCCCCAGUGCCGUGGCAUCGCCACGGCUUUUCCGGAGUGUAAAAAGCUCCGGGAAUAAGGGCUGGGCAAGGCCGGUGGCAGCCGCCGCGGUAAUACCGGCGGCCCGAGUGGUGGCCGCUAUUAUUGGGCCUAAAGCGUCCGUAGCCGGGCCCGUAAGUCCCUGGCGAAAUCCCACGGCUCAACCGUGGGGCUUGCUGGGGAUACUGCGGGCCUUGGGACCGGGAGAGGCCGGGGGUACCCCUGGGGUAGGGGUGAAAUCCUAUAAUCCCAGGGGGACCGCCAGUGGCGAAGGCGCCCGGCUGGAACGGGUCCGACGGUGAGGGACGAAGGCCAGGGGAGCGAACCGGAUUAGAUACCCGGGUAGUCCUGGCUGUAAAGGAUGCGGGCUAGGUGUCGGGCGAGCUUCGAGCUCGCCCGGUGCCGAAGGGAAGCCGUUAAGCCCGCCGCCUGGGGAGUACGGCCGCAAGGCUGAAACUUAAAGGAAUUGGCGGGGGAGCACUACAAGGGUG
RNAcentral lists this ribosomal RNA (850 nucleotides) under Thermococcus sp. Tc85_19. Its description in RNAcentral is "bacterial SSU rRNA". It matches the Rfam family "Archaeal small subunit ribosomal RNA", at positions 44 to 889 of the family's 1478-position model. Lineage: Archaea; Methanobacteriati; Methanobacteriota; Thermococci; Thermococcales; Thermococcaceae. The record is from RNAcentral.